GCGUCGGUGGCGGAGUGGUCAAUCGCAGCAGACUGUAAAUCUGCCGGCUUUAUGCCUACGUUGGUUCAAAUCCAACCCGGCGCA
This 84-nucleotide transfer RNA is filed under the name Parcubacteria group bacterium. RNAcentral's name for it is "tRNA-Tyr". It matches the Rfam family "tRNA". Rfam says of the family: Transfer RNA (tRNA) molecules are approximately 80 nucleotides in length. Their secondary structure includes four short double-helical elements and three loops (D, anti-codon, and T loops). Further hydrogen bonds mediate the characteristic L-shaped molecular structure. tRNAs have two regions of fundamental functional importance: the anti-codon, which is responsible for specific mRNA codon recognition, and the 3' end, to which the tRNAs corresponding amino acid is attached (by aminoacyl-tRNA synthetases). tRNAs cope with the degeneracy of the genetic code in two manners: having more than one tRNA (with a specific anti-codon) for a particular amino acid; and 'wobble' base-pairing, i.e. permitting non-standard base-pairing at the 3rd anti-codon position. The record is from RNAcentral.